This 501-nucleotide ribosomal RNA is filed under the name Pinctada imbricata (Akoya pearl oyster). RNAcentral's name for it is "partial small subunit ribosomal RNA". It matches the Rfam family "Bacterial small subunit ribosomal RNA", at positions 682 to 1419 of the family's 1533-position model. The record is from RNAcentral. Lineage: Eukaryota; Metazoa; Mollusca; Bivalvia; Pterioida; Pteriidae.
UGCAGGUUUAUGUUCUAAGGGUAAAAUCGGAAAAAACUAAGCACCCUAACUGAACAAAUGGUAUACUCACGAAGCCUAGGAAAAAGGACCGGGAUUAGGCACCCCGUUACUCUAGGUGUCAAUUAAAAACUGGGGACUACGAACUAAUGUUUAAAACCCUAAGAACUUGGCGGUGUGGUACAGUCCAGACAGGGGAACUUGACGCUUAAUUCGAUGGUCCGCGUUUAAUCUCAUCUUUUCUGGUAAAAUCAGGGGUAUAUCGCCGUUAAAGGCUAUAGCGAGAUCGGAUCAAAAUAGUCACAAUUGGUUUAUACCAGCUUAUUCAGGUAAGAUGCCCCCAAUGAAAAGAGGUUAGUUGAGUUACCAAAUAUAGUUUAUGGAAGUCGCUAAGGCAGGUGAGGCUGAAAGAGGACUUGUUAGUAAACAAAGAUUAAAACGCUUCGUUGAAUAGUGAAAUGCCAUGCGUACAAAUCGCCCGUCGCUCUCUUGGAAACCGGAGAU